Molecule: ribosomal RNA, 456 nt
Filed under: uncultured bacterium
Lineage: Bacteria
Description: bacterial SSU rRNA
Rfam family: Bacterial small subunit ribosomal RNA
Source: RNAcentral
CAGGACGAACGCUGGCGGCGUGCCUAACACAUGCAAGUCGAACGGAGCACUUCGGUGCUUAGUGGCGAACGGGUGAGUAACGCGUGAGAAACCUGCCUUUCAGUGGGGGACAACAGUUGGAAACGACUGCUAAUACCGCAUAAUGUUAUUUGGGGGCAUCCCUGAAUAACCAAAGCUUUAUGUGCUGAAAGAUGGUCUCGCGUCUGAUUAGCUAGAUGGCGGGGUAACGGCCCACCAAGGCGACGAUCAGUAGCCGGCCUGAGAGGGCGACCGGCCACAUUGGGACUGAGACACGGCCCAGACUCCUACGGGAGGCAGCAGUGGGGAAUAUUGCACAAUGGAGGAAACUCUGAUGCAGCGACGCCGCGUGAGCGAAGAAGUAUUUCGGUAUGUAAAGCUCUAUCAGCAGGGAAGAUAAUGACGGUACCUGACUAAGAAGCUCCGGCUAAAUACGUG